UACAGAGGUGGCAAGCGUUGUUCGGAAUUACUGGGCGUAAAGGGCGCGUAGGCGGUUCGUCAAGUCCUGUGUGAAAUCCCCCGGCUCAACUGGGGAACUGCACAGGAAACUAGCGGGCUUGAGUUCGGGAGAGGGAAGCGGAAUUCCGGGUGUAGCGGUGAAAUGCGUAGAUAUCAGGAGGAACACCGGUGGCGAAGGCGGGUCUCUGGGCCGAUACUGACGCUGAGGAGCGAAAGCGUGGGGAGCGAACAGG
Molecule: ribosomal RNA, 253 nt
Filed under: uncultured bacterium
Lineage: Bacteria
Description: partial 16S ribosomal RNA
Rfam family: Bacterial small subunit ribosomal RNA
Source: RNAcentral